RNAcentral lists this transfer RNA (74 nucleotides) under Stegodyphus mimosarum. It matches the Rfam family "tRNA". Rfam says of the family: Transfer RNA (tRNA) molecules are approximately 80 nucleotides in length. Their secondary structure includes four short double-helical elements and three loops (D, anti-codon, and T loops). Lineage: Eukaryota; Metazoa; Arthropoda; Arachnida; Araneae; Eresidae. The record is from Rfam by way of RNAcentral.
GCCUUCGUGGUGUAAUCGGAUAGCACGUCCGGCUAGCAAUCAUAAGGUCUGGUGUUCAAAUCCCUACAAGGGCA